RNAcentral lists this ribosomal RNA (524 nucleotides) under uncultured bacterium. Its description in RNAcentral is "partial 16S ribosomal RNA". It matches the Rfam family "Bacterial small subunit ribosomal RNA", at positions 28 to 523 of the family's 1533-position model. The record is from RNAcentral.
GACGAACGCUGGCGGCGUGCUUAACACAUGCAAGUCGAACGGACAGACAGAGAGCUUGCUCUCUUGAAGUUAGUGGCGAACGGGUGAGUAACGCGUAAUCAACCUGCCCUUCAGAGGGGGAUAACAACGGGAAACCGUUGCUAAUACCGCGUACGAUUCAUGAACGGCAUCGUUUAUGAAUGAAAGGUGGCCUCUAUGUAUAAGCUAUCGCUGAAGGAGGGGAUUGCGUCUGAUUAGCUAGUUGGGGGGGUAACGGCCAACCAAGGCAAUGAUAAGUAGCCGGUCUGAGAGGAUGAACGGCCACAUUGGGACUGAGACACGGCCCAAACUCCUACGGGAGGCAGCAGUGGGGAAUCUUCCGCAAUGGACGAAAGUCUGACGGAGCAACGCCGCGUGAGUGAUGAAGGUCUUCGGAUUGUAAAGCUCUGUUAAUCGGGACGAAAGAGUUCUGCGUGAAUAAUGCAGAAAAGUGACGGUACCGGAAUAGAAAGCCACGGCUAACUACGUGCCAGCCGCCGCCGUAA